UUAUUGACAACCACAUCUCACAUGACACAGAGAUAAGCACUUUACAAAUUAAUGUGACAAAAAGCUCUCCUGCAGUCUGAUUCGACUUUGUCAUUUUUGUGUUAGCAUGUUAAUUAUGUAGAUGAGGAAACUGAUACAUUCAAGAUGUUCCUUGAAUUUCAAAGGCCACAUGGUGAAGCUUGGUGCCAGAACCAACCCCCCAGGUUUUUCAAUUUCAAGCUGGAUUUCUUUCUAUCAUGUCUCACUGCCAAUAGAAUCAGCUUUGCUUUCUCUGACUUUGCUUAGUCACUCCUGUGGCUCCACUAAGUAACUCUCUGCCAAGGCAGAAAUUCUCAGAAAACAAAUGUACCAGUGAGGCUGAUGACAUGAGAUAAAAAUAGAGAAAAAGAACGAGUCAUGUUGCAAAGUGGCGUCCGUCAAUGCGAGAGGAAAGGGACAUACUGGGAGGAAAGAAAAAGAGAAAAUUAAAGCCAAUGAGUCAGUUCUGAGAUGGUGAGCAGAACAAAUGUCGCAUGUGUGCCUGCAUCUCUCCUAUAGGUGUGAUCCUGAGGAGUUGUAUACAAGAAACUAACUCAUAAGUCACCCAGAAGAGCCAUGCGAUCUUCAGUUUGCAUACUCAACCAAGAGUUAUAGAUCUCAUCACUGUCUUCCUAGUUGCCCUCACAGACAGACCGAAAGAUUCAGUCUCGUUGAACGGUGUCUUACCUUGUGGUCUGCCACAGGACACACUGUCUGAAGAUGGGAAGCAGGUGGCUCUGGA
Myotis myotis is the source of this 760-nucleotide long non-coding RNA. RefSeq lists it as uncharacterized. The record is from RefSeq and is a predicted model, not a curated record. Lineage: Eukaryota; Metazoa; Chordata; Mammalia; Chiroptera; Vespertilionidae. The transcript is spliced from 3 exons.